UGAACAUGGAAAAUUGCAGAUAACGUUGCAAUUGGAAAUCUGUAUAUCUGAAUCCAACACGAUUUCUCUGAAAGGUUUGACUCUUUCCUAUGUGAUCUCAGUAUUUUCACCUCUGUGUGAAUCACCUCUGUGUGAAUUUGUUGAAAAAAGACAACACGCCUUCGAACCGCACGUGUGAACUCAAGUAGACACGUGACACCACGUGAACACUGUGUGCCCAUUUAAACAGAAAGGAAGGAGACAAAAUCUCCGGUUGAAUGUCUGAAGCUGCAUGGAAAACUACCACAUGGCAAUAAAUGAAACGCCUGAGAAAUCACAGGAGAAAAUACAGACACAUCCGCACGUCAAGUACCUUAAAAAAGCGUGUGAAUCGUGUGAUUAUUCUGUAAUAACCCUGUGAUAAAUUGCUGUCAUGCCUACACGGCCAAAAUAUUGAACUUUCCAUGAUAUGGGGCAAGCGAAAUCCUGAACAGAGUUACUAUAAAUAAUUCUAAAUAAAUAAUAAUUGGAUAUAGAGCAGUGCGUAAAUGCGCAUCGGUAUCAUCUGUUCCUGGAACGGUCUCAAGUAGCCUGAUACAGUACAUGUGUCAUUAGAAUUCCGAAGAAAGACAUUAGAGAGUAACUGGAUAGAUGUUUUUAAAAACAAAAGAAAACUAGGCAAUAAAAUAUCAUGUUCGUAUUGCAUAUUCUUGUAGCUCAUAUUUAUUCUGCACUAUAUUAUACCGAGUAAUUCCACCUGUCCUGGGUGGCCUACUGCUGCAAGCCAAAUAGGGCAAGAGCACACCAAGCAUCUGAAGUCUAUUAUUAACCUGCAAACUGAUCUGUUUUUUUUUCCUUCCAAAAUUACCAUCGGAACCGCCUCUUCCGUCCAAGUUUACAGUGUAUAAGAAGUGCGGAUCCAGAAGAACUGUUUGGCUCAAGACACUUCCCUCCAGCUGGACACUAAGAUACAAUGUAGACUACAGUUAUCCAGAGCGACACAUCUUUGCCUCAUGUGAGAUUAAAAUGAAGAUGGUCUUAAGAUAUCCCCCCAAAAGGAAUAUUCUUGCUUUAUUUCUCUAUACGCCCGAAGCCACGUAAAGAAACAAGAAGUUACCAGCUAAAUGAUAGCGACCUGUGGGCUGAAGGUCACCUUUACUUUCCUUCUGAACAUAUGGAGUUACGGCAGGUGAGAAAAUGUGCAAACGAAGCUUUGAGUUAUUCUGCGAGUUCAUCUUGGGAUACCGAAACAUUCUAAACACUCGCUCAGAGGAUUAUUAAUCAUUUUGUCCAUAUGAUCCAGUGUUGCCAACUCUUAAAGGGAAAAGCAUGUAAAACAUGCUCAUAAAAGUCUCUUAAAUACACCAAAUGACAUAUGAUAAGCUGUCAUGAUCAUUUCAUAACAAAAUGUGUUACAUGAAAGAAGGAAGACUUUCUGAAGAGACUUGGGCCAGAAUUUAAGUUUGAUCAAAUUAAUAAAUAAAUUAAUAAAUAUACUAUUAAAAAAAAA
Tachysurus fulvidraco (yellow catfish) is the source of this 1489-nucleotide long non-coding RNA. RefSeq lists it as uncharacterized. NCBI's taxonomy places the organism in Eukaryota, Metazoa, Chordata, Actinopteri, Siluriformes, Bagridae. The transcript has 2 exons. The record is from RefSeq and is a predicted model, not a curated record.